RNAcentral lists this unclassified non-coding RNA (344 nucleotides) under soil metagenome. Its description in RNAcentral is "partial contains 5.8S ribosomal RNA, internal transcribed spacer 2, and large subunit ribosomal RNA". The stretch from base 1 to 119 matches the Rfam family "5.8S ribosomal RNA", at positions 35 to 154 of the family's 154-position model. The record is from RNAcentral.
GAUGAAGAACGCAGCGAAAUGCGAUAAGUAAUGUGAAUUGCAGAAUUCCGUGAAUCAUCGAAUCUUUGAACGCACAUUGCGCCUCUGGUAUUCCGGGGGGCAUGCCUGUCCGAGCGUCAUUUGCAACCCUCAAGCCCGGCUUGUGUGAUGGGUGCCGUCCCCUACGGGACGCGCCCCGAAGGCAAUGGCGGCGUCGCGGUUAUCCGAUCAGCCAAAGUGUAUGGGGCUUUGUCACUCACUUUACGGCCCGGACCGGCGCCAGUCCGAAUCAAUCUUUUUUCUAAAGUUGACCUCGGAUCAGGUAGGGAUACCCGCUGAACUUAAGCAUAUCAAUAAGCGGAGGA